AACGUAGGAGACAAACGUUAUCCGGAGUUACUGGGCGUAAAGGGCGCGUAGGCGGCACUGUUAGUCAGGCGUGAAAGUCCUGGGCUCAACCUGGGAACUGCGCUUGAUACGGCAGAGCUAGAGGAUGGAAGAGGCUCGCGGAAUUCCCAGUGUAGAGGUGAAAUUCGUAGAUAUUGGGAAGAACACCGGUGGCGAAGGCGGCGAGCUGGUCCAUUACUGACGCUGAGGCGCGACAGCGUGGGGAGCAAACAGG
This 253-nucleotide ribosomal RNA is filed under the name uncultured bacterium. Its description in RNAcentral is "partial 16S ribosomal RNA". It matches the Rfam family "Bacterial small subunit ribosomal RNA", at positions 524 to 776 of the family's 1533-position model. The record is from RNAcentral.